Non-coding RNA from Callithrix jacchus (white-tufted-ear marmoset), 2375 nucleotides. Lineage: Eukaryota; Metazoa; Chordata; Mammalia; Primates; Cebidae. The record is from RefSeq and is a predicted model, not a curated record.
GCUCAGAUUGACUUGUUUCAUUAGUUCUGGAACGGUUUCUUCAGGAUUCUGAUGGAUCUCUUUAUGGGGAAGCUCAAAAGAGGAAGGUUUGGGACAGACCACAGCCUCUGCUGCUGUGGCUUGAGUUUGCAACCGGCAUUCACCUCCCCCCUCUACUACGCAUUGUUGAUCUUUCCCCAACCCCCUCAGACUUACACUUCCGGUUCAUGUGGGUUACCAGAUGACGUACCUGGCCAUCAUGCCCUUCUCAGGCCAUGACUGCACUUCUUCAUUUAUCAUCAAACUUGAGUAAGGAGAGGCCGGAUGUGGUGGCUCACACCUGUAAUCCUAGCACUUUGGGAGGCCAAGGUGGGUGGAUUACCUGAGAUCAGCAAUUCAAGACCAGCCUAGCCAUCAUGGUGAAACCCCAUCUUGUUAAAAAAAAUAAUAAUCAUAUAUAUAUAUAUAUAUAUAUAUAUAUAUAUAUAUAUGAAAGGAAAAAAAAUAAUAAAAUUGGGUAAGGAGAAGCUCCAGGCACAGCCUGUGGGUGGCCCUGCUCUGUAAGGAGCAGUCAAAAAGAAAAAAUUGGGUAAGGAAAAACAUACUGAAAUGGAUGAUCUGGGUGCCAAAUAUGUUCUUCCCCGUUCCCACUGUGUAAUAGUAGCUCUGUCCCCUGAUAAUGACCCCUUUCGUUGCCUUCUUGUCUCUUGGUAGUGAUUUGAAGUAAUCUAGUGCCUGCCAUAGCUUAAAAAGUUUAGUGAGACUCAGUGUGUCCACUGGUGCAAAUAUUCUCAUUCUGGGGACCAGGACUUCUAAACCCUUAGAGCCCAGAGUUGAGAUAGAAGGCACAGAUUCCCCUGUUGGGUCACUGGGAGUGAUGACAAUGGCAGGCUGCUCUACAGCCACCCCUUGUUCCCCUGAGCCAUGUAUUUUCCUUAAGGAUACACCAUUUGAUGGCUGUUGAUCUCAGGUAUGUACUGCAUCAUGGAGGAUGAUGCCUCCUCCUUACAGGGUAUCAUCUCCAAUCUGGUGCCACUGGACCUCUAAAAACGUCACUGAUCGGCCGGGCGCGGUGGCUCACGCCUGUAAUCCCAGCACUUUGGGAGGCCGAGUCGGGCAGAUCACUUGAGGUCAGGAGUAUGAGACCAGCCUGACCAACGUGGUGAAACCCCGUCUCUACUAAAAAUACAAAAAUUAGCCGGGCAUGGUGGUGUGCACCUGUUCUCCCAGCUACUAGGGAGGCUGAGGCAGGACAAUCGCUUGAACCCAGGAGGCCAAGUCAGGAGAAAAGAUUCAAAAAAAGGAGUUUGUACUAUUAAUUUCACUAGGACGUCAGAGGAGACAUAGGAUUUUAGUUCUGAACUUAUGAAUAUGUGAAACUAGGGAUGAUGGAAAUAAAUAUUUAGCCAUUUUCCUAGUUGUCUUUUUGUAAAGGUUAACAGUUUCAUAUGAAUUAAAUUUAAAAUGAACAUAUUUAACCUGUUUUUUAAAUAAUGUAAAGUAAAAAUAUAAUGAGGAAAGAAAUGGAAGGUAUUUUUAAAAGACGAAAAUGGAACUUCUUGAGAUGAAAAGUAUAAUAUCUGAAAUGAAAAAUACACUGGAUGGAACUUCUGCCUCUGGGAGGUGGGGUAGAUGUACUUCCACCCUCCCAGAACAAGCAUAACCCUGGAAAUUAUUUAUUAAACAGAAGAAGACUUCAAAAGGUGGAGAAAAGAACACGGACUGGAAUAGAAAAUAGAAAUCUCGCGACCCACAAAACAACAAAGUGGGUGGUGGAGCUGGUGACUACUGGUGCCUUCAUGGACAGGACUAGGUUGCCAAAGCAGCCAAAACCUCUCCAGGGGAUGGCAGCUGGGAACAAGGCAGAGACGAGGGAAAUACAAAUAAUACAACCCCUGCUUUGGUCUGGGCUUCUGUUGCUAUGGUGAUGUUGACAACUAAGGCACAGGUGAGAGACUCUUUCCACAGUGGAGCCGGCAGAUCAUGCAAACCAGAGGGCUAGGACAGAACCACGAAAGACCCCACGCCUCCUAGGCCUGAAAAGGACUUCCUGAGGCCAUCCGCCCACUCCCAUAUCUCUUACCUGAAAUCAAAGGGAUGGGCAGCAAGUUCCCAAAAAUACUUGAGAACAAAGCCCACAACUCCCAAAUCCCCUGCUGGGCACAUAUUUCACAACACUCAUGACCCUGAAUGGGUUUUCUGUGGCUAAUCUCACAUUCUCUUGAAGUCCUUCCAGCCCAAUUCCUCUUACAAUGGAAAUCAAAGUUAAUCAUCACCUUACACUCUGUACGGUAACCCAGGAAGUAAGAUAAACAAGAAAACAAAACCACAGCUGAAGCGUGGACUCGCUUCUUUCUGUGUUCUUCUCAGGGGGUGGGCGCGACAGCCCCCUGACC